This 253-nucleotide ribosomal RNA is filed under the name uncultured bacterium. RNAcentral describes it as "partial 16S ribosomal RNA". It matches the Rfam family "Bacterial small subunit ribosomal RNA", at positions 524 to 776 of the family's 1533-position model. The record is from RNAcentral.
UACGUAGGGGGCAAGCGUUGUCCGGAUUUAUUGGGCGUAAAGAGCGUGUAGGCGGUCCGGUCAGUCGGUUGUGAAAGUCAAGGGCUCAACCCUUGAAUGCCGGCCGAUACUGCCGGGCUAGAGUCCGGAAGAGGUGAGUGGAACUCCUGGUGUAGCGGUGAAAUGCGCAGAUAUCAGGAAGAACACCAAUGGCGAAGGCAGCUCACUGGGACGGUACUGACGCUGAGACGCGAAAGCGUGGGGAGCAAACAGG